This 213-nucleotide long non-coding RNA is filed under the name Elaeis guineensis (African oil palm). Its description in RNAcentral is "long non-coding RNA (EGUI_LNC064499)". Lineage: Eukaryota; Viridiplantae; Streptophyta; Magnoliopsida; Arecales; Arecaceae. The record is from RNAcentral.
UUGAUCUAAUCAACUCCAGUUUUGUUGGUUUGUUUCAGAGUUGGUUCCUCUACCUUUCAAGCUUCACCAAACUUGCUCUUAACAGCAUUAGUUUCUUCACAAAGAAACUUUGUUUCCAAAAAGAAUGCCUUAAGAUUUAUGAACAUUUCAUGUCCAUCAGGCAGGUAGAAAAAAUAUUUCUAAAAUAAUAUUUAUCAGUCUAAGAUCCAAGCU